RNAcentral lists this ribosomal RNA (903 nucleotides) under Pilidium acerinum. Its description in RNAcentral is "LSU rRNA". It matches the Rfam family "Eukaryotic large subunit ribosomal RNA", at positions 38 to 965 of the family's 3401-position model. Lineage: Eukaryota; Fungi; Ascomycota; Leotiomycetes; Chaetomellales; Chaetomellaceae. The record is from RNAcentral.
GCAUAUCAAUAAGCGGAGGGAAAAGAAACCAACAGGGGAUUGCCUCAGUAACGGCGAGUGAAGCGGCAACAGCUCAAAUUUGAAACCUGCCAACAGGCCGGAUUGUAAUUUGUAGAGGAUGCUUUGGGGUAGGCACUGAUCUAAGUUUCUUGGAACAGUACGUCACAGAGGGUGAGAAUCCCGUUCGUGGUCGGUUGCCUGCUCCGUGUAAAGCUCCUUCGACGAGUCGAGUUGUUUGGGAAUGCAGCUCAAAAUGGGUGGUAAAUUUCAUCUAAAGCUAAAUAUUGGCCAGAGACCGAUAGCGCACAAGUAGAGUGAUCGAAAGAUGAAAAGCACUUUGGAAAGAGAGUUAAACAGCACGUGAAAUUGUUGAAAGGGAAGCGCUUGCAAUCAGACUUGCGCGUAGGUAAUCAAGGGCGGUUCGCUGCCCUGCACUUGCCUGCGCUCAGGCCAGCAUCAGUUCUGGGGGUGGGAGAAAGGCCGUUGGAAUGUGGCUCUUCGGAGUGUUAUAGCCUUCGGUGCCAUGCUGCCUCCCGGGACUGAGGACCGCGCUUCGGCUAGGAUGCUGGCGUAAUGAUUGUAAGCGACCCGUCUUGAAACACGGACCAAGGAGUCUAACAUCUAUGCGAGUGUUUGGGUGUCAAACCCACACGCGGAAUGAAAGUGAACGGAGGUGAGAACCCUUGAGGGUGCAUCAUCGACCGAUCCUGAUGUCUUCGGAUGGAUUUGAGUAUGAGCAUAGCUGUUGGGACCCGAAAGAUGGUGAACUAUGCCUGAAUAGGGUGAAGCCAGAGGAAACUCUGGUGGAGGCUCGCAGCGGUUCUGACGUGCAAAUCGAUCGUCAAAUUUGGGCAUAGGGGCGAAAGACUAAUCGAACCAUCUAGUAGCUGGGUUCCUGCCGAA